This 381-nucleotide RNase P RNA is filed under the name Aphanothece hegewaldii CCALA 016. RNAcentral's name for it is "Bacterial RNase P class A". It matches the Rfam family "Bacterial RNase P class A". Rfam says of the family: Ribonuclease P (RNase P) is a ubiquitous endoribonuclease, found in archaea, bacteria and eukarya as well as chloroplasts and mitochondria. The record is from Rfam by way of RNAcentral. Lineage: Bacteria; Bacillati; Cyanobacteriota; Cyanophyceae; Chroococcales; Aphanothecaceae.
AGAGUUAGCCUUGAAGGUUGCGGGUUUAAAUCCCGAGGAAAGUCCGGACACCCGAAAGACCAAACUUGCUGGAUAACGCCCAGUGCGUGUGAACGCGAGGAAAGUGCCACAGAAAAAUACCGCCAAUGAGUUGAUCGCUCAUUUGGUAAGGGUGCAAAGGUGCGGUAAGAGCGCACCAGCAGUAUUGUGAAAUACUGGCUCGGUAAACCCCGGUUGGGUGCAAGGUGGAGGAACAAAGGUUGGUCUUUUUCCUGUUCCGCUUGUUUGGAACCGCUUGAGGCGUUUGGUAACAAACGACCCAGAUAGAUAACCUUCCUUUCAAGUAUAGUAGCUUGCUACAGCUUGGAAUGAACAGAACCCGGCUUAUGUCUGACUCUCUUC